CCUACGGGGGGCAGCAGUAGGGAAUCUUCCACAAUGGGCGAAAGCCUGAUGGAGCAACGCCGCGUGGGUGAAGAAGGUCUUCGGAUCGUAAAACCCUGUUGUUAGAGAAGAAAGUGCGUGAGAGUAACUGUUCACGUUUCGACGGUAUCUAACCAGAAAGCCACGGCGAACUACGUGCCAGCAGCCGCGGUAAUACGUAGGUGGCAAGCGUUAUCCGGAUUUAUUGGGCGUAAAGGGAACGCAGGCGGUCUUUUAAGUCUGAUGGGAAAGCCUUCGGCUUAACCGGAGUAGUGCAUUGGAAACUGGGAGACUUGAGUGCAGAAGAGGAGAGUGGAACUCCAUGUGUAGCGGGGAAAUGCGUAGAUAUAUGGAAGAACACCAGUGGCGAAAGCGGCUCUCUGGUCUGUAACUGACGCUGAGGUUCGAAAGCGUGGGUAGCAAACAGGAUUAGAUACCCGAGUAGUC
Molecule: ribosomal RNA, 465 nt
Filed under: uncultured bacterium
Lineage: Bacteria
Description: partial 16S ribosomal RNA
Rfam family: Bacterial small subunit ribosomal RNA
Source: RNAcentral